UGGUAUUCCUCGUGACUGAGA
Caenorhabditis elegans is the source of this 21-nucleotide non-coding RNA. The record is from Ensembl. NCBI's taxonomy places the organism in Eukaryota, Metazoa, Nematoda, Chromadorea, Rhabditida, Rhabditidae.